This 529-nucleotide ribosomal RNA is filed under the name uncultured bacterium. RNAcentral's name for it is "bacterial SSU rRNA". It matches the Rfam family "Bacterial small subunit ribosomal RNA", at positions 9 to 534 of the family's 1533-position model. The record is from RNAcentral.
GAGUUUGAUCCUGGCUCAGGAUGAACGCUGGCGGCGUGCUUAACACAUGCAAGUCGAACGGGGUACCCCCAAAGGAGUUUUCGGACAACUGCGGGGAAUACCUAGUGGCGGACGGGUGAGUAACGCGUGAGUAACCUGCCUUGGAGUGGGGAAUAACAGCUGGAAACAGCUGCUAAUACCGCAUAAUGCAGUUGGGUCGCAUGGCUCUGACUGCCAAAGAUUUAUCGCUCUGAGAUGGACUCGCGUCUGAUUAGCUAGUUGGUGGGGCAACGGCCCACCAAGGCAACGAUCAGUAGCCGGACUGAGAGGUUGGCCGGCCACAUUGGGACUGAGACACGGCCCAGACUCCUACGGGAGGCAGCAGUGGGGAAUAUUGGGCAAUGGGCGCAAGCCUGACCCAGCAACGCCGCGUGAAGGAAGAAGGCUUUCGGGUUGUAAACUUCUUUUCUCAGGGACGAAGCAAGUGACGGUACCUGAGGAAUAAGCCACGGCUAACUACGUGCCAGCAGCCGCGGUAAUACGUAGGUGG